GCUCCGUGGCCUAAUGGAUAAGGCAUCUGACUUCGGAUCAGAAGAUUGCGGGUUCGAGUCCCGUCGGGGUCG
Molecule: transfer RNA, 72 nt
Filed under: Schistosoma mansoni
Lineage: Eukaryota; Metazoa; Platyhelminthes; Trematoda; Strigeidida; Schistosomatidae
Rfam family: tRNA
About the family: Transfer RNA (tRNA) molecules are approximately 80 nucleotides in length.
Source: RNAcentral